Molecule: ribosomal RNA, 424 nt
Filed under: Verrucomicrobiota bacterium
Lineage: Bacteria; Pseudomonadati; Verrucomicrobiota
Description: Verrucomicrobia bacterium partial 16S ribosomal RNA
Rfam family: Bacterial small subunit ribosomal RNA
Source: RNAcentral
GGAGGAAUAUUGGUCAAUGGACGAGAGUCUGAACCAGCCAAGUAGCGUGCAGGAUGACGGCCCUAUGGGUUGUAAACUGCUUUUGUUUGGGAAUAAUCGACAUUACGUGUAAUGUUUUGCAUGUACCAUUCGAAUAAGGACCGGCUAACUCCGUGCCAGCAGCCGCGGUAAUACGGGGGAUGCGAGCGUUAUCCGGAAUUAUUGGGUUUAAAGGGUGCGCAGGUGGCUAAUCAGGUCAGUGGUGAAAAGCUAUGGCUCAACCAUGGUCUUGCCAUUGAAACCGUAUAGCUAGAGAGGAGACGAGGUAGGCGGAAUGUGUGGUGUAGCGGUGAAAUGCAUAGAUAUCACACAGAACUCCGAUUGCGAAGGCAGCUUACCAGGCUUUAUCUGACACUUAGGCACGACAGCGUGGGGAUCAAACAGG